GCAGAAGAAUCACUUGAACCCAGGAGGCAGAGGUUGCGGUGAGCAGAGAUCGCGCCACUGCACUCCAUCAUGGGCAACAAGAGCGAAACCUCGCCUCGAAACAAAAAGCGGGGAGGGCAACCAGCAGCCGUCAGGGCUGCUCUGUCGAUAGAGUAGCCAUUCUUUUAUUCUUUUGCUUUCAAAAUGAACUUACUUUCAAUGUAUGGACUUGCCUCAAAUUCUUUCUUGCAUGAGAUCCAAGAACCCUCUCUUGGGGUCUGGAUGGGGCCCCCUUUCUGGUAACAGUGUGAAUAGUGAUUAUUGUGUGGGUUUUGGCUUCCAGUGAGAUGAAAAGGAACUGGUGGAUUUUAAGGAGAAAAGGAACGUGAUCUUUCUACUGAAGCUAAUGUGAUUUGAAUACUCUGGGCUUGGGGUGGGGGUGUUUGCAAGGGUAGAAGCAGAGAGACCCAAUGAAGCUACUGCAGUGACCCAGCUGAGAAACCGAGGUGCCUGAGACCGUAAGCAAGGGAUGUGAUGAGAAACGAUGGAAUUCUAGUCAUAUGUUGUUGUGAAGUUAGAUAUGGGAUGAGAGACAAAAAGAGGUGUCAGGGAAGACUCCACAGUUUUCAGCUUGAACAACUGAAAGUGGAGGUGCCUUUGCUGAGAUUUGGGGGGGAUUGUGGAGGAACCGAUUGGAAGCAGUACUAGGAGCGCAGUUUUAAGCACAUUAAAUUUGAGAUUCCUCUUUAGACAUCUAAGCAGAAAGCUCAUGUAGGUAGAAUCUGGACUUCAGUGGGAGGUCAGGAUUAAAAAGGCAAAUUUAAAGCCUUUAAUUUAAAAUUUAAAAAAUGAGCAUUGAACUGUUGUUCAAAAUCACAAGAAAGAUUGAGGCCACCAAGGGAGUGAGAAGAGUGGUCUGGGGCCUCUCCUGGUCCCAUGGAGUAAGCAAGGCAGAUUGAGGAACAGAUAGGAAGGUAUAAAUCGUGGUUCUCUAGACACUAAGGGAAGCCGUAGUAACCCACGUCGUUAGAUGCUGCUGAUGGGUCAGGUAAGACGCCAGCUGAACAUCGAUCAGAAGAUUCAGCAAUGAGGAGGAAGUUAGUGACCUUGGCAAGUGGUUUCAGUGAAAUGGCAGAGACAAAAGCCAAAGUGGAGGAGAUUCGAGGGAGAAUUGGUGGAACUGGAUCAAAGAGUGAGUCUAGUCAGACUCUCUUUUGAAGCCCAGAAGAGUCCAGGAAAAUUCUGGUUUUGUUGUUUCAAGAUGAGAGAAAUUACAUGUUUCUCCCAAUGCAUGUGUUAGAGAGAUUGCAAGUUAUUUUUCUGAAAUCGUCUACCAGAUUGAUGACACUGAAGACCACCACAGCCUGCGUGUGCUAGGUGUGGACGUGUAGUGCCUCCCUCCUGAGACGGCUUCAUAGAACCGGGCUGUGGAAAAGGCAGAGGAGUGGGAGGGGCUGGGAGGGGAGAGAGAGAGAGAGAAUGCAGAGGUUGGCAUUGAGUAUGUUAAAGGUGGCUUUUGCAAUUGUUAUGAAAUUUGGUUUCUUCUUGCUCCGUGUCUGCAUUCACCUUCCGGGAAUUAAAAAUUUUAAGGUAACAAACGUUAAGACAAGUUCUCCUCAACUGAAAGUGUUGAAAAAGCUGAUGUUUGGGGGCUAAUUUCUUUUCCUUACUCUUGAGGAAGUUAUUGAAACAUUUGAAGAAAUUGAGGCAGAGACAGUACCCAGUGCCGCACAAAAUGAAAUAUUGCCAGAGUGACUGGAUUUUAGAUCUGAUUUCCUGGCUAUGUGGAACACUUAAUCCCUCUGUUUGGUUCCAGCAGGUAUUACAUGAGAAUCAUAGCUGCUCUACCGGCCACAGGAGGUUUUUGUGAGGAUCAGUUGAGCUAGUAGAUGAAGGGGCUUAGUCAAUUAUACAGCACUGUAUUAUAUAAAUAUGAACUAAUGUUAAAACUAAAUUAUACUUGAGGAUUUUGUGAUAGCCUUUGGAAUAACGGGAGAAAAUAUAAUGUGACAAAAUCUGGGCUGGGAAUAUCUGAAAUACAUAAUCAUACUAAUAGAACUGCAAGAAUUUGCUUUUUGCCUAUGUCUGACUUUGUUAAUGACACUACAGAAUCGAUCCGAUUUGGGCAAUCUUGGAGUUUUGCGGUCAAGCCACAGCUGAGGUCCAAGCGAUCAAUCAGUUUACCUUCUAGGAGUCUCAAAGUUACGGAACAUCUGGCUAUUUUGGUACUUUAAUAGAAUGUUAGCUUGCUGGUAUUAUGUGGAAGAGCCACUCUCUUAAUAGAAAAUAUUCACGUUCUGAUGUUAAGUUUUCUAUCAGACUUGGAGACCAUUUCUAUAUUUGAUAUUUGGAAUUAAAUUACAGUCAUACUUUAUUUUUAUAUUAUCAUCUUUAGGCUGUGGAAAAUUGAGAAGUUAAAUGAGUAGCCAAAUCACAUCCCUUGAUGGUGAUGUGAAGAAGACAGGUGAUUUUCUUUCUGAAUGAAACAGGUGUAACACUGGACAAGAUUGUCCAAAAUGGUCAUUUCUGGGCACUGGAAACUGACCAAAAAGGCAGAUAAUAAAUUGAGAGGCAUUAUUGAAACACUGGAUCUUUGGGUAUGAACAGUAGGGGUGUGGCCUUCUCGUGCGGGGCUGCUUCUGUCUUUCUGCCCACUAUCUGAGUUGUCAGACUGCUGGUUUAUCAGACAUGAUGGACUCAGUCUGAAGUGUGGGUAAGGGUUGGGGUUAAGAAAUCACAGCUUUGCUGGCUAAAAGUGGCAAAAUCAGUUCAUAAUGAAAAACCCACAGGUUUGCUACUUCAAGUCUUUAAUUUGCUAGUUGGAGGCCACCCAGAAAUUUAACAAGGAGAUCCUAGAUUUGAGAGACCUGUAGAGGGCUAACAUGGCUCUCCAGCCAUCUGUAGCAGACAGCUAAACUUUGCAUGCCCAGGAGAUACUCAGUAGAGCCCAGCAAAAAGUGAAAGCCAGGAGAGGCUUGAAAUCUGGGUACAACUUUGAAUGCUGCCUUCCAUGCACAGACUGUUGAUUCCGCAGGCGGUGGAAGCCUUACAGGUACAAGGUGGCUGGGCACAAUCUCUGCCCAAAUCACUGGCUGAACACUAAACUAAGCAGCCACUCAGUCAUUAGGGAAAUGCAAAUUAAAGCCAUAAUAGCAACCACGAGAAUGGCUAAAAUUAAAAAGAUUGACCAUCCAAGUGUUGACAAGGAUAUGCGGAAACCAGAAUCCUUGCACAUUGCUGGUGGGAAUUUAAAAUAGCAGCUUUAGCUGUGAUUGAUGAAAACUAGAACUAAUUUAUGUGUCUGUCAGCAGAUAAGUGGAUAGGCAAAUUGUGGUAUAGCCGUCAAUAAUGAAAACGAAUGGAUUGUUGAUAACAUACAACAACAUGUAUGCAUCACAAAAUGAUAAUAUGCUGCGUGAGAGAAGCCAGACACCUUUACCUACAAAAUAUCAUACUGACUCCAUCUAGGUGAAAUUCUAGAAAAUGCAAGCUAAUCUGUAGUAGCAGUAAUUCAGUGCCUGCAGAUUAGAGGAUGGCUUGGGACAGGAGGCAGAAAGGGAGUCCAAAGGAAAGAGCACAAUGAAACAUUUGGGGGUGAUGUAUAUAUUCACUAUCUUGAUUAUGCAUGAUUUCAUGGUUGUAUACAUAUGUGAAAACUCAUCAGAUUGUAUAUUUAAAUAUGUGCAAUUUAUUGUAUAGCAACGGUAACUCAGUAAAGUUA
Long non-coding RNA from Sapajus apella (tufted capuchin), 3700 nucleotides. RefSeq lists it as uncharacterized. Lineage: Eukaryota; Metazoa; Chordata; Mammalia; Primates; Cebidae. The transcript is spliced from 2 exons. The record is from RefSeq and is a predicted model, not a curated record.